This 623-nucleotide long non-coding RNA is filed under the name Mytilus galloprovincialis (Mediterranean mussel). Lineage: Eukaryota; Metazoa; Mollusca; Bivalvia; Mytilida; Mytilidae. The record is from RNAcentral.
AUACUUUCAUUUUCUAUGUUCAGUGGACCGUGAAAUUGGGGUCAACACUAUAAUUUCAUAUUAAAAUUAGAAAGAUCAAAUCAUAGGGAUGUGUACUAAGUUUCAAACUGAGUGGGCUUCAACUUUAUCAAAUAAAGAGCUGCACUUUAGCGCAUGAUACGCCCGUUGUUUGAAAGACGACGGGCGUAUAAAAAUGGCAAAAAAGACUACAAUGAUAAUGAGGAGCAGCAAGAAGAUGGUGAAAGUGACUCUACUGAAAGUUAUGAUCUAAAUCAGGAAGUAGGUGAUGAAAGUAAGGAUUUCAUUGACGACGGGCGUAUAAAAUGGCAAAAAAGACUACAAUGACAAUGAGGAGCAGCAAGAAGAUAACAGGGAAAGUGAAGAUGGUGAAAGUGACUCUACUGAAAGUUAUGAUCUAAAUGAGGAAGUAGGUGAUGAAAGUAAGGAUUUCAUUGAUGAUGAAGAUAAAAAUUUCAUUGAUGAUGAGGAGGCCUCUUCUGAGAAUGAAAAUGAGGAUUUUUCUGAUGAUCAGGACAGUGAUUACAGUGAAGAAGACACUGAUGAUUAAACCUAGUUCAGCUUUUCAAUAUUUAGCAUAAAAAACAAAUAUCAUUAACAUUGGC